AGUACGCACACAGAGGCACUCAACUGAUUCAAUUGAUGAAAAAAGGACACAAGUAUUUAGUAUAAGCAAGUAAUAAUAAAUAACUUUAUGAACAAAUGCGCUGAAUAUUUCGAAGUAAAGCUGCUGAUAAGAAGAAGAAGAAGAGAAAGAAGAAGCAAAGCAAAUAAGUAGGUACUGUCGAAUACCAAAAAUAAACACCAGCUGAAUGAGCCGUAAUCCAUGCCAUAAGGCACCGCGGUCAAUGAGCAAUACCCAAUACCCAGUCAACCCUGCCAGUGGCGGUACAGGCAACCAAAUCAAUUACUCAGCCAAAUCCAUCAGCUCAACGGUGGCAAUAUCGUACGUUUGUCGUCAAUGGUAAACACGAGCACUUUUUUUCCUCACUAAAAUUUUUGUUAUUUGUGUUUUUGUUCCCUCUUUUUGUGUACGCAAAAACUUAUCCGUCCGUUGCGAUGACGAACAAGCCGUUGGGUUGGCGUACUUCUGUAUUUAUUUAAACGUCAAAUUUAUGCUGUUCUCAUUGCUGCAUACAUUAUAUUUUUGGGAAUUUUUUCAACGUUCUAUCCAAAGUACUUUUUUUGAAUACUGAAUGGGACUCUCGGUAUUAUAAAAUCAGAUUGGUACAAUGACCCGCACAAACUCCUGAGGAACCGGUUCUACCUACGCUGUUAUCAAAAUAGUCCGAUUUACCGCUGGCUGCGCACUGGUGUAGGUACUUAAAACACAGCUCAGCGCAAGUUCAGCUCAUUUCAGCUCAGCACAGCACAGCUUAGUACAAGUGAGCCACAACGUUGCUACUCGCUGCGCCAAGCUUUGACGUCAGGGAGGCGUUAGGCAGUCGGUUAGUCAGACAGGCGGUAGUACCUGGCUGAGGGUUUCUGCGACAUCGUCAGAUACCGGUUUUUGACGUUGGCUUAUCGUUUCGGUGGGCCGUAAAAGUCGAUGAGGCGUUUCCAACAUAAUUUGUGCGCGCAAAUUCAAUAUUUGCUCGGGUUUUUAGCGGUUUUUUUGUUCGUUUAAAAUAAAUAAGUAACUUCUUAUUUAAAAAUAAAUAUUAUAUAAAUACAAUUAAAGC
Molecule: long non-coding RNA, 1075 nt
Organism: Anastrepha ludens (Mexican fruit fly)
Lineage: Eukaryota; Metazoa; Arthropoda; Insecta; Diptera; Tephritidae
Exons: 4
Source: RefSeq, a predicted model, not a curated record